GUGUGUGUGUGAAAUCCCUGAGGUGAUUGCUUUUUUGGUUCUCUGUCUGUCCAGGGUGUUUUCUUCAGUCUGUCUGGUUCUUUACACUUGUAUCUUAAGAGAGUUGUCCCUUUUGUCCAGUUUUGAAACACGGAAGUGAAACCCAUCCGGCUGGGACAUUCUCCCUUCUGCGCUUUAGUUUAGGCGUGUGUGGGGGUGGUUGUGACUUAGGGGGACAAGCUCUAUCUUCACGUACUUGGUCCCAUUCUCAGUGUCCGAAGAAGGCCCGCCUUGUGGGUUGGGCCUCCACACUUUAACCUUGUGAAUCUCUUCGACCCCCGUUUCCUCAUCUGAAAAGUGGGGGUAGUAACACCCGCCUCACAGAACUGGGAGAGUUGGUGAUAACGUGUGUGUGCCAGCAACUGGUAACACACAGAUGCGGAGUCAGACCUAAAAGAACCUUUGCAGAGCUCCCGGACCAGGCGUUCUCACACGUCACUGGUGGGGCUCUCAACUGGAUGGGUCCCUAAAACCACUCAGAAGUAACUUUCAAAAUUACAAACCUAAGUUGUGGGGACUUCUGUGAUGCGGUAACAAGGACUCACUCAACCUUGCAGGUAACGUGUUGGGAGAGCUGGACAAGAUACAUCCAGUAACUUUUUCCCCCCAGGCAUCGCACAGCAGGCAGUGCACGACUGCGGUGCCUGAGAGAUAAAGGGAUAAAAAUGAAGUCAGCCUUACAUUGCCCUGGCUUCUGCCUGGAGGCAGUUUCUGACAACAGGACCUGGGAGGAGGACCCCAAAGAGAGGCUGGCGUCCUCUCUGACUUGUGGACUCAAAGGUGAUCCAGAGAAGCCAGCCCAGGACCACUUAGAAAUCUCUGCUCAGGUCUUGCUGCGAAAAGGCGGGCAGUUCCAAGCACUAGGCAUUCGGCAGAUGCCAGCUCCUGGUUGAAAAGAACCUUUUGUCCUGCUGGUUGAUGGUGGGAAAGUGAAUCCUCGGAACUGUCAGAAGGAAAAGAAAGUAUGUUACUUUUUUGCUCUGAAAACAAGACUUGGAAGAUUUAAAGUGGUAAAUUUUGGUCUUCUGGGUAGAAUCUUGGCCGUUUGGAUAAAAUCUUAGGGCUUUUGGGGCCCUGAUGUUCCAUGACCCCAGUUGAGGCCUGAACACCCUCUGUCUUUCUUAUUAUUUCCAGUAGUGAAAAUCUAAAUUAAGAAAAUGCAUAACUGUUUUAAAGAAGAAAUACCCAAUUGUUUUCACAUAGAAAGUUUCUUAAGCUUAAAAUCCAGUCCACUUGCAGGAUAUUUUUAGUCUCUUGAGAAUGUUCCAGAUCGCUGACUCAGUCAGCACAGGCUCUUAAAAAUGCAUGUUUUUAAACCCCACAAUGUGACAUUGUCUCAGCUCCUUGCCGUUUGAGUCGACCGUCCAGUCCCAAGUCGGCCUUGGUUUCCUAGGGGCUGUUCU
Molecule: long non-coding RNA, 1442 nt
Filed under: Sus scrofa (pig)
Lineage: Eukaryota; Metazoa; Chordata; Mammalia; Artiodactyla; Suidae
Description: lncRNA (ENSSSCG00040033186.1)
Source: RNAcentral